Molecule: long non-coding RNA, 1828 nt
Organism: Gallus gallus (chicken)
Lineage: Eukaryota; Metazoa; Chordata; Aves; Galliformes; Phasianidae
Source: Ensembl
CCGGACCCGCCGCCAAGCGGAAGCUGGAGGAGGCCGAGGCGCCGCCGGGAAAGCGUCCCGGGCUGCGGGGCGAGGAACCGGCGGCCGCCCCGCAAGAAGAAUUCAAUCAGUAUAACUCAUUCUUGUACUGGAGAGCACCAUUGCCUACAAUUGAUUUAUCUGAUAUUCAGAGCCUGCAUGGAGAGACUACAUCUGCCGAUAAAACUCCUUCAAGGACUGAUACCAUGGAGACUGAGAUGGAGACCUGAUCAGUUGGUUUAUAGUUGUACGUCUACUCGCAGGAAGCUUGUUUCUGUUUGGAUUCAGUUUUUCCUGCGUCGGAGAAAAAUCAACGUGCUUCUGUUUUUAUGAAGAAACAGUGUUAUAUCAAUCUGAAAAGGCAAGUCAGAGCUGUCAGGUUGGUGGAAUCAUCACUAUUAGAUACUGUUAGCUGGCUGGAGGUCUGAACUUACUGAUUAUGUGUGGAGGAGGCUUUGUCUAGCAUGAACACCUGAAUUCAUGGAAGCAGGGCAGAAGAAAAUGACAGAAAAUUAGUUAACUUCCAGAUGUAAUUGUAGGAAACAGUUGGAUAAGUUACACGUGGAAAGGAAAUGGAAAAUUAUUUAGCCUGUCCUGAAGAAAAGGUGUAACUGUUGUACCAGAAUAUGAAAUUCUUUAUCAUAAAGCACAGAAACUAGUAUUUUUAGUAGGGUUUUUUUCAGUGUAAUAGCUAAGCCAAAAAAAACAAAAAACAAAAAACAAACAAAAAAAAAAACCACCACGUAAGUCCACCAAAACCAGGCAAAACAUUCCCUUUUCUAUGCAAACCAAAAAUGAGUGUGUUGGGGAUGGGAAGGGAAAAGGGGAUCUAUUCUAUAAGCUGCCAGUGUUCUGAAUGAUUACAGUCUUCUUGUGAUCACUCAAAGCAGCUAGCUUUUACAUUUUUUUUUGUCUGUUCUUAAGUUAAUGAUUUUCUUAUUCUUUGUGAAAUUAAACUAGCUGGUAAUGUGGAAAUAGCAGCUGUGUGCAGGGUCAUGAAAGGUUAACGCAGUGUGAAUUGAGUACUUAGUUGACUGAGGUUUAGUUUUUUGCAGACGUUGUGGAUGUUGAAGAAACCUUUUUUUACAGAAGUUCAAUUAGUUAGUGGUUUUUUUUUUUUUUUUGCUAUGAAAUAUCAUUGUAAUGUGCUUUUUUGUAAUUUAUUUACAAGUUAAAAAUGCGAUUAGAAAUAUGUGUCUUCAGUAGUAGGUCGGAAUUUAAAGUUGUAUUGGCAGACUGUCAGACUUGCGAAUGUGACUUGUUUAUAGGUGAGUUUGUCAUUCAUAUUUUUGCCAGAAUCAUCUUAAAAUAAAGAAAAUUCUUUCUACUAACCUGUUUGUUGAAGGUCAAUCACCUGUGUGCAUUCGAAGGCCUUGGGACCAUUACUGUUCGAAGCUCCUGACUUCUCUUAAGAUGGUUUGGACAACUUAGUGGUUUUAUUUAUUAAGUGUCCCUGUUUGAAAAGAGACAACUUGUCCGCCUUCUUAGUGAACAGUUCAAAACUUUUUUUCAGCAUCUGUACUGCAAAAUAUUUGUGUUGACAGGGUCCCCUAGUGCCUGCAGAAGAGAUGAAGAGGCUUACUGAAUUGGACGUUUCGUGGUGCUUGUUCAGAUAUGCUUCUAAUUGCUGUCACAUUAGCGAGAUGCUCAUUUAAAGCAAUAUUCAUAUUAAGCAUGCAUUUUAAUAUUGUAUUAAGUGCAAAUCUAGUUCUCUUAGGAGAUCCUUUAAACAUACCUUUAAAAACUGCUAGAUUUCUGUCAAGAAUGCAACCACUAUUGUUUACUGUUACCAAAGUAAAUUAGAAAGGUG